Molecule: ribosomal RNA, 439 nt
Filed under: uncultured bacterium
Lineage: Bacteria
Description: partial 16S ribosomal RNA
Rfam family: Bacterial small subunit ribosomal RNA
Source: RNAcentral
CCUACGUGUGGCAGCAGUGGGGGAUAUUGCACAAUGGGGGAAACCCUGAUGCAGCGAUGCCGCGUGAGUGAAGACGGCCUUCGGGUUGUAAAGCUCUGUCGCAGAGGACGAAAAUGACGGUACUCUAUAAGAAAGCUCCGGCUAACUACGUGCCAGCAGCCGCGGUAAUACGUAGGGAGCAAGCGUUGUCCGGAAUUACUGGGUGUAAAGGGAGCGUAGGCGGGAGGAUAAGUUGAAUGUGAAAUCUAUGGGCUAAACCUAUAGCUGCGUUUAAAACUGUUAUUCUUGAGUGAAGUAGAGGCAGGCGGAAUUCCUGGUGUAGCGGUGAAAUGCGUAGAUAUUAGGAGGAACACCAGUGGCGAAGGCGACCUGCUGGGAUUUUACUGACGCUGAGGCUCGAAAGCGUGGGUAGCAAACAGGAUUAGAUACCCUAGUAGUC